CCUACGGGUGGCAGCAGUGAGGAAUAUUGGUCAAUGGGCGCGAGCCUGAACCAGCCAAGUCGCGUGAGGGAUGACGGCCCUACGGGUUGUAAACCUCUUUUGCAGGGGAGCAACGGGCGCCACGUGUGGCGCCACAGAGAGUACCCGGCGAAAAAGCAGCGGCUAAUGCGGUGCAAGCAGCCGCGGUAAUACGGGGGAUGCGAGGGUUAUCGGGAUUUAUUGGGGUUAAAGGGUGCGUGGGCGGAACGUAAAGUCAGUGGUCAAUUGGAGGGGCUCAACCCCUUCCCGCCAUUGAAACUGGCGCUCUUGAGUGGAAGAGAAGUAUGCGGAAUGCGUGGUGUAGCGGUGAAAUGCAUAGAUAUCACGCAGAACCCCGAUUGCGAAGGCAGCAUGCCGGCUUCCGACUGACGCUGAAGCACGAAAGCGUGGGGAUCGAACAGGAUUAGAUACCCCUGUAGUC
RNAcentral lists this ribosomal RNA (460 nucleotides) under uncultured bacterium. RNAcentral's name for it is "partial 16S ribosomal RNA". It matches the Rfam family "Bacterial small subunit ribosomal RNA", at positions 338 to 795 of the family's 1533-position model. The record is from RNAcentral.